RNAcentral lists this ribosomal RNA (253 nucleotides) under uncultured bacterium. RNAcentral describes it as "partial 16S ribosomal RNA". It matches the Rfam family "Bacterial small subunit ribosomal RNA", at positions 524 to 776 of the family's 1533-position model. The record is from RNAcentral.
UACGGAGGGGACUAGCGUUGUUCGGAAUUACUGGGCGUAAAGCGCACGUAGGCGGAUUUGUAAGUCAGGGGUGAAAUCCCGGGGCUCAACCUCGGAACUGCCUUUGAUACUGAGAAGCUUGAGUCCGGGAGAGGUGAGUGGAACUGCGAGUGUAGAGGUGAAAUUCGUAGAUAUUCGCAAGAACACCAGUGGCGAAGGCGGCUCACUGGCCCGGUACUGACGCUGAGGUGCGAAAGCGUGGGGAGCAAACAGG